Molecule: long non-coding RNA, 487 nt
Organism: Thamnophis elegans (Western terrestrial garter snake)
Lineage: Eukaryota; Metazoa; Chordata; Lepidosauria; Squamata; Natricidae
Exons: 4
Source: RefSeq, a predicted model, not a curated record
CUGACUCAAAGCUUCAUUCUGGCUGCAGACAGCUGCCCUCAGUUAUGAAGACUGCCUCCUGCCUCGUCCUUCGCCCGGACCUCUAAAUCCAUGGUACACAGUUUAAGGUUGAAGCUGUGGAGGUUUGAGAAAGUAACAAGGGAUUCAGAACUGGAAAAUUGAAGGUCAUCUUUCUACAGUAUGCCUAACUGGGUCAUGGAUAUGGUGAAUAUUGCAUGUGAACACCAUAACUCAGUCGUCAUGGGUUCCCCUUUGAUAUUAUCUAAAAAGGCAAUGCAUCAAAGAAGACUGGCAAGAAGUACAAUGAAGUCAGACUCCAAAGCAUAAAAUAUGAUUUUCCUUCAUCUCUUAACAUCAGCAAAAUAUAUCAGAGUUUCAUUCUUUGUCAUAUUGUUUAUCCUUUUGGAAAGAAACACAGGUAUUUAUCUUUUGAUGGUAAAUGUCUUCAUAUUUUGAAAUGAGGGGACUGUGCUUUCCUUCAUAUUUG